Molecule: ribosomal RNA, 284 nt
Filed under: Escherichia coli
Lineage: Bacteria; Pseudomonadati; Pseudomonadota; Gammaproteobacteria; Enterobacterales; Enterobacteriaceae
Description: partial 16S ribosomal RNA
Rfam family: Bacterial small subunit ribosomal RNA
Source: RNAcentral
CAGCCGCGGUAAUACGUAGGGGGCUAGCGUUAUCCGGAAUUACUGGGCGUAAAGGGUGCGUAGGAGGCAUGGUAAGUCAGAUGUGAAGACUUGGGGCUCAACUCCAAGAUCGCAUCCGAAACUGCUAAGCUAUAGUGCAGGAGAGGAAAGCGGAAUUCCGAGUGUAGCGGUGAAAUGCGUAUAGAUUCGGAGGAACACCAGUAGCGAAGGCGGCUUUCUGGACUGUAACUGCCACUGAGGCACGAAAUCGUUGGGAGCUAACAGGAUUAGAUACCCCGGUAGUC